RNAcentral lists this long non-coding RNA (1971 nucleotides) under Homo sapiens (human). RNAcentral describes it as "HSALNT0052063". The record is from RNAcentral. Lineage: Eukaryota; Metazoa; Chordata; Mammalia; Primates; Hominidae.
GGACUUCAUGCCCAAGAGAAGGAAGAAAUGCUGAGUUAUCCAUAAACUUCAAAGCCUGAGCAUGGCUGUGGGAGGCAGCUAAUAGACAACUCUGCAAAGAAUGGGAAUCAUUUUGAAAAGAAGCGUGGAGCUUUCACAAAAGAGAAGAGAGCUAGAGCAAUAAACAAUUUCUAUCUACACAAAGAGGAGCAGACACGUUCCUGUCUUGGACCCUUUAUUUUGGACUCCGGUUGGUCUGAAUUGAAACUGCCUUUUAGUUGGGAGCUACAGAAAGGCUGGGACCUUGAGAUCACAAUGGAUGCUUGUUACACGUGAGAUGAAAGUUUGAGGAGGAGUGUACAUCAAAAGAUGCUGCGUUGAUGACGUCAGAAAUUAUAUGCUGAGAGAGCCUGUUGCAGUGAAGAAGGUGGGGUUUGCCUCCCGCAGGUGAGGCCCUGCUCCAGCCCCAUGCCCAGUAUUACCAUGGCACUCACAAAAACACCAUUUAUCCUAUUCUUUGUUUUUUGCUGCCUGGGAACUCCUCGAAGGCAGGAUCUUGUUGAUGAUGUUUGUAUCAGCAGCACCUGGCAGAGUGCCUGGGCCCAAAAGUAGACUCCCAAAAAAUGUUUGCUGAAUUUAAUGACAACAUCUUGCAGGUUCUGUGACCACCAUGACAUCCGGUGCCCUGCUGCUUAAUAAAGUUCCGAAUGACUUCUGGAGAAUAGUAAAUGUGUCCCUAAACAUAGGAUAUAAUUUUACCUAAAAAUUUCAUAUACAUGUUGUGAGAUAAAUUGUGUUCCCCCAAAAAAGAUAUGUUCAACUCCUAAGCUAGUACCUAUGAAUGUGAUCUUAUUGGGAAAUAGGGUCAUUACAGAUGUAAGCAAGUUAAGAUGCUCAGUAUGGUGGACCCUAAACCCAAUAUGACUGGUGAGCUGAUAAGCAAAGGAGACAUAGAUAGGCACUCAGAGAGAAUACCAUAUGACAACAGAAGCAGAGAUUGGAGUGACACGGAUACAAGUCAUGGAACACCAAGGAUUGCCAGCAAUUCCAGAAACUGAAAGAAGGACAUGGGACAGAUUCUGCCCAAGAGCCGUCACGGAGACAGCAUGGCCCUGCUGACAUUGAUUUUGGACUUCCAGCCUCCAGAGCUGUGACAGAAUAAGUCUCUGAGAACUAGAUUUGAUCUCAAGGACAGGAAAAUGAAAAGGAACUCAUCAUGACUUCUGGGAUGGUUAAUAUUAAGUGUCAACUUGAUUGGAUUGAAGGAUGAAAAGUGUUGUUUGUGGGUGUAUCUGGGUGUUGCCAGAAGAGAUUAACUUUUGAGUUGGUGGGCUAGGAGAAGACCCACCCUCAGGAAGACCCACCCACAGUGUGGGCGGGCAUCAUCCAAUCGGCCCCAGCUUGGCUGGAAAAAGCUGGCAGAAGAAAGUGGAAGGAGCUGACUGGCUGAGUCUUCCAGCUUUCAUCCUUCUCCUAUGCUGGAUGCUUCCUGCCCUGGAACAUCAGACUCCAAGUUCUUCGGCUUUUGGACUCUUGGACUUACACCAGUGGACUUACACCACUGAAGGCCCGAGAGCCCCUGUCAACUUCCCCUGUCAACUUUGAGGGUUGGGGACUCAGACUGAACCACUACUGGCUUCCUUGCUCCUCAGCUUGCAGACGGCCUGCCGUGGGACUUCACCUGGUGACUGUGUGAGUCAGUUCUCCUUAAUAAACUCCCUUUCCUAUAUACAUCUAUCCUAUUAGUUCUUUCCCUCUAGAGAACCCUUACUAAUACAACAUCCAACUUCAAAUUGCUUUUUUUCAACCAUAAACCUUGACUGGAGGUCAACCAAGUAUUGGGUACUGUUCCAGGCACUUUAAUUAAAAAGAUAAAGUAAGGCACAGUUCUUGUCCUGAAAAAUAUCUGAUUCUUAGGCUGAAAACAGACACACAGUCCCAAAACACUGUGAUGAAUGCUUUAAAGGGGUUUUUAGACUUCAGGUACACCAG